This 160-nucleotide ribosomal RNA is filed under the name Hansenia weberbaueriana. Its description in RNAcentral is "5.8S ribosomal RNA". It matches the Rfam family "5.8S ribosomal RNA". Rfam says of the family: 5.8S ribosomal RNA (5.8S rRNA) is a component of the large subunit of the eukaryotic ribosome. It is transcribed by RNA polymerase I as part of the 45S precursor that also contains 18S and 28S rRNA. The record is from RNAcentral. Lineage: Eukaryota; Viridiplantae; Streptophyta; Magnoliopsida; Apiales; Apiaceae.
AAACGACUCUCGGCAACGGAUAUCCCGGCUCUCGCAUCGAUGAAGAACGUAGCGAAAUGCGAUACUUGGUGUGAAUUGCAGAAUCCCGUGAACCAUCGAGUCUUUGAACGCAAGUUGCGCCCGAUGCCAUUAGGUUGAGGGCACGCCUGCCUGGGUGUCA